UACGUAGGGUGCGAGCGUUGCCCGGAUUUAUUGGGCGUAAAGGGCGCGUAGGCGGUGAGAUGCGUCCGUUGUGAAAUCGCCCGGCUCAACUGGGCGGGGUCAGCGGAUACGGUCUCACUCGAGCAAGCUAGGGGGCAAUGGAAUUCCCGGUGUAGUGGUGGAAUGCGUAGAUAUCGGGAGGAACACCAGUGGCGAAGGCGGUUGCCUGGAGCUUUGCUGACGCUGAUGCGCGAAAGCGUGGGGAGCGAUCCGG
Molecule: ribosomal RNA, 253 nt
Filed under: uncultured bacterium
Lineage: Bacteria
Description: partial 16S ribosomal RNA
Rfam family: Bacterial small subunit ribosomal RNA
Source: RNAcentral